UACGAAGGGGGCUAGCGUUGUUCGGAUUUACUGGGCGUAAAGCGCACGUAGGCGGAUCGUUAAGUCGGGGGUGAAAUCCUGGAGCUCAACUCCAGAACUGCCUUUAAUACUGCCAAUCUCGAGUCCGGAAGAGGUGAGUGGAACUCCUAGUGUAGAGGUGGAAUUCGUAGAUAUUAGGAAGAACACCAGUGGCGAAGGCGGCUCACUGGUCCGGUACUGACGCUGAGGUGCGAAAGCGUGGGGAGCAAACAGG
RNAcentral lists this ribosomal RNA (253 nucleotides) under uncultured bacterium. RNAcentral describes it as "partial 16S ribosomal RNA". It matches the Rfam family "Bacterial small subunit ribosomal RNA", at positions 524 to 776 of the family's 1533-position model. The record is from RNAcentral.